This 739-nucleotide ribosomal RNA is filed under the name bacterium D4. Its description in RNAcentral is "bacterial SSU rRNA". It matches the Rfam family "Bacterial small subunit ribosomal RNA", at positions 37 to 766 of the family's 1533-position model. The record is from RNAcentral.
UGGCGGCGGGCUUAACACAUGCAAGUCGAGCGGUAACAGAGAGAAGCUUGCUUCUCUGCUGACGAGCGGCGGACGGGUGAGUAAUGCCUAGGAAUCUGCCUAGUAGUGGGGGAUAACUUGCCGAAAGGUAAGCUAAUACCGCAUACGUCCUACGGGAGAAAGGAGGGGACCUUCGGGCCUUUCGCUAUUAGAUGAGCCUAGGUCGGAUUAGUUAGUUGGUGAGGUAAUGGCUCACCAAGACCGCGAUCCGUAACUGGUCUGAGAGGAUGAUCAGUCACACUGGAACUGAGACACGGUCCAGACUCCUACGGGAGGCAGCAGUGGGGAAUAUUGGACAAUGGGGGAAACCCUGAUCCAGCCAUGCCGCGUGUGUGAAGAAGGUCUUAGGAUUGUAAAGCACUUUAAGUUGGGAGGAAGAGCAGUUAACUAAUAUUUGACUGUUUUGACGUUACCGACAGAAUAAGCACCGGCUAACUUCGUGCCAGCAGCCGCGGUAAUACGAAGGGUGCAAGCGUUAAUCGGAAUUACUGGGCGUAAAGCGCGCGUAGGUGGUUCAGUAAGUUAGGAGUGAAAGCCCCGGGCUUAACCUGGGAAUUGCUUCUAAAACUGCUGAGCUAGAGUACGGUAGAGGGGGGGGGAAUUUCCUGUUUACCGGUGAAAUGCGUAAAUUUAGGAAGGAACAUCCUUGGCGAAGGCGAACCCCUGGACUGAACUGACCCUGAAGUGCGAAAGCGGGGGG